Molecule: long non-coding RNA, 597 nt
Filed under: Citrus x clementina
Lineage: Eukaryota; Viridiplantae; Streptophyta; Magnoliopsida; Sapindales; Rutaceae
Description: Citrus clementina (C. clementina) long non-coding RNA (CCLE_LNC005081)
Source: RNAcentral
UAUAGCCUUGGUGGGGGGCGCGGGCGAAGUUCGUCCGCCGGACUCGGAAUGGGGCGAGACUUUGCGAGGGGCCUCGGGGUGCCAGAAAUAAGCCGCGGGCAAAGCCGCGCCCAAAAAUAAGCGCCCGAAGGUCGUGGUGCCAAAACCCCCCAGCGGAAAAAUGGCCAAAAAACGGGUGGGCUAUAGCCUUGGUGGGGGGCGCGGGCGAAGUUCGUCCGCCGGACUCGGAAUGGGGCGAGACUUUGCGAGGGGCCUCGGGGCGCCAAAAAUAAGCCGCGGGCAAAGCCGCGCCCAAAAAUAAGCGCCCGAAGGUCGUGGUGCCAAAACCCUCCAGCGGAAAAAUGGCCAAAAAACGGGUGGGCUAUAGCCUUGGUGGGGGGUGCGGGCGAAGAUCGUCCGCCGGACUCGGAAUGGGGCGAGACUUUGCGCGGGGCCUCGGGGCGCCAAAAAUAAGCCGCGGGCAAAGCCGCGCCCAAAAAUAAGCACCCGAAGGUCGUGGUGCCAAAACCCCCCAGCGGAAAAAUGGCCAAAAAACGGGUGGGCUAUAUCCUUGGUGGGGGGCGCGGGCGAAGUUCGUCCGCCGGACUCGGAAUGGGG